UUUCUCUCGCCUGGAACAGCCCGCUCCCAUGUCUGCCCCCUUCCAAGCCAGAGCAGGCCGUUAAAAUGUCACUUAACAUUCUAGAGAAUGUGAAAUAUAUUGUACAUUGUCAACUCCCCAAAACCAUAAAACUAACUUUAUGGACCUCACGUGACUUUUGAGAGCCAGUAAGGGGUAUCUGGCUGAGGUCUCGGCGAUUUUUACGAUCUAACUUCUAGAUAAAACCCUAUCCAUUUGACAUCUUAAUGUCACAGCUACUUUUGGUAUACUUACUUAACUUUGGGUGUGGGUAAAAUAUAUGCGUGUGUGCGUGCGUGUCUCUGGGUGUGUAUUCGAGGGAAGGCGAGGAAAUGGGGUUGUGUUUUUGGAAAAUGACAACUGGCGUCCCAUCCCUCUCCAAACCAUUUCAGAAGUAACUAAAGAGUUUUUGGGGUAACUGGAAGAAAAAUCUCGCACACCGUAGCGGAAGACCCUGGAGAGAAGCAUCUAAUCCAACUGGUUUCAGUACAAAAACUUCCUCGAAAGAGUGGAUUGGAUUGAGGACAAAGCAACUCCGGCAAGAUCGAAGCUGGAUAAGUCCGUCGAGAUGGGAAUUCCUUAAAGCAAGAGUCACGUCUCUGACCACAGCUAUUUACUCGAGCGUCCAAAGAAUCUCUUGGGU
Long non-coding RNA from Heteronotia binoei (common prickly gecko), 661 nucleotides. RefSeq lists it as uncharacterized. NCBI's taxonomy places the organism in Eukaryota, Metazoa, Chordata, Lepidosauria, Squamata, Gekkonidae. The transcript has 3 exons. The record is from RefSeq and is a predicted model, not a curated record.